Molecule: ribosomal RNA, 525 nt
Filed under: Mycobacterium tuberculosis
Lineage: Bacteria; Bacillati; Actinomycetota; Actinomycetes; Mycobacteriales; Mycobacteriaceae
Description: partial 23S ribosomal RNA
Rfam family: Bacterial large subunit ribosomal RNA
Source: RNAcentral
GUGAAGAUGCAGUGUACCCGCGGCAAGACGGAAAGACCCCGUGAACCUUUACUAUAGCUUGACACUGAACCUUGAGCCUUGAUGUGUCGGAUAGGUGGGAGGCUUUGAAGCGUGGACGCCAGUCUGCGUGGAGCCAACCUUGAAAUACCACCCUUUAAUGUUUGAUGUUCUAACGUUGGCCCCUUACCGGGGUUGCGGACAGUGUCUGGUGGGUAGUUUGACUGGGGCGGUCUCCUCCCAAAGCGUAACGGAGGAGCACGAAGGUUAGCUAAUCCUGGUCGGACAUCAGGAGGUUAGUGCAAUGGCAUAAGCUAGCUUGACUGCGAGCGUGACGGCGCGAGCAGGUGCGAAAGCAGGUCAUAGUGAUCCGGUGGUUCUGAAUGGAAGGGCCAUCGCUCAACGGAUAAAAGGUACUCCGGGGAUAACAGGCUGAUACCGCCCAAGAGUUCAUAUCGACGGCGGUGUUUGGCACCUCGAUGUCGGCUCAUCACAUCCUGGGGCUGAAGUAGGUCCCAAGGGUAUGGC